This 1779-nucleotide long non-coding RNA is filed under the name Mus musculus (house mouse). RNAcentral describes it as "long non-coding RNA chr14:79429257-79431036". Lineage: Eukaryota; Metazoa; Chordata; Mammalia; Rodentia; Muridae. The record is from RNAcentral.
GUUAUAGUUUGUUAAAACUCUAGUAUGCUCUCCUUCCUUUCUGCAAAGAAAGAAACAUUAAGGUUACUAAGUAGUGACUCCAUACUGAUAAUGUGUUCAGUGGACUUACAAGGUCACAGGAAACUUAAAAAAUCAGGAUUCCACUGUUUCCAAAGAAUUUAAAUUUUUACUUUAAAAUUUAAAAAUAUAUAUUGGUAAAUAUGACCUGUUUCUCACCCACCACUUUCUUGAAAAGAAACCACUCUAGUAAUGUCAUCAAUUAUUUAAGCACCUUUCUAACCCCCCCCCCAAAAUGUGAGAGGUAAUUUGCUUUAUAAAUUCACAGUUUUGAUCGGUAUAUGUUAAAUGCUUUGUUGACUCAGAAGAACAACCCUUCACUGGACAUGAUUUAAAUAAUGUACAUUUUUCUUCAUUGGUCAUGCACUGUCUUAAAAAGUUUGCUUCCCUAAAAUAUUUUGGCUAUAUAGUUUUAGUAUUCAUCUUAGAGGCUUUAUCAGCAGAAAGUGAUUUAUUCUUCAAUGUUUUGUGACGUAAUAUUGGUUUUGAAAAUAUGUAUAAGCUAAAGGCAGUAUUUUAUUGAGAUCAGUAGCUAUAGUGUUUAUCAACUCAAGUUAAGUGCCAGCAAAGACCUUUAAAACUUCAAGCUGUGUAUAGAACUGUCCUGUGUAGUAUUGAAAUAUUGUCAGUUUUUUAAGUUACUAGAAAUGUUCUUGAUUUGCAGCUUGAACAUAUUUUUGUAUUAAAAGUUGACUCUUAAGGAACUUAAGUGGAUGGUGGGUGGUGGCAUUUGGGGCCAGUAGUUAAAGUAUGUUUCUUCAGUUCUUUCCUUAAUCAGUGGUAUACAUGGCCAUUUUAUUAUGGUGUCUGUAUCCAGUUUAUAUUUCUCUGUAAGUUAUACUCUAGUUUCUGUCUCAGUCACCAUAUGUAAAGGAAAGUCCAGAAGUAGUAAACUACACAAAACAGGCAUUAUAACGUUAUAGGUGCUUACCUUUUGAAGGUUUAUUAAUACAUAUGGUUGUCAUAUAUACAUGACAAAUGGUGUACAUAUACAGAUGUUUUAUGCUAUAUAAAGUUUUCUAUACUCUUUCAGAAUUAUCUUCCGCAGUCUUUAUUCAAUACCAUGCAAAUUCCUCUUUAUUCUCUAGUGGCAAAUGCUUAAGUUUUUACACUCUGGUAGAGGAUAGAGUCUGGUCCAAGAUGGGGAAGUGACUUUUUGAAUGAAAAGUGAAAGAUAAAAUGACAAAAGCAAAACAAAAUACCACGAAUAAUGUGUUAUUCAUUAUUUUGAUUGGCUAGGUGAAGACUGUAAGAUAGUCAGCUCAGCAAUAUUUCUGUUAAGAGUCUGCUGAUUUCUGAAAUGUAGUCAGGCUUUCAAGUCUAAAUUCUAUUCCAUUUGUACUAGGGAAUGUUAUAAGAACUAUUUAUUUAGAAAGUUAUUUUUCCCUGUUUGGGGGCCAACUUUUUCUUCCCCACUAACUUCUGUUGAUAGCCUUUUUGUUCUGUAAGGUGGAAACUUGGCAAUGCUUGUCACAACCCGAUUAUUCAUCUGCACAAUUAAGGUCUGCAACUGAUGUAUAAAAGUCAUAUUCUCAAAUUCAUCAUUCUCAACUCUUGAGUUAAAGCUUAGGCUAAAUAUUAGUAAUAGCUUCGCUUACUGUCACAUUUUCUUGGGAAGGAUUUUGAUUUUGUGAAACAUUUGUGAAUUAGAGACUAGAUGUUAUUAUUUUAUAGAUAAAUGAUUUGUAUGUUGCUUGUUCCAAAUAAAACUGGGUUUAAACU